RNAcentral lists this ribosomal RNA (569 nucleotides) under uncultured marine eukaryote. RNAcentral's name for it is "SSU rRNA". It matches the Rfam family "Eukaryotic small subunit ribosomal RNA", at positions 605 to 1181 of the family's 1831-position model. The record is from RNAcentral.
AAAACUUGUUGCGGUUGAAACGCUCGUAGUUGAAUAUUUGUUGAAGAUCUCCGGUCCAUCCUAGUGAUGUGCACCCGGUCCGUCUUCAGCACUUUUCUGGGGAACGUGUUUGCUCUUGAUUGAGUGGCCCAUGAUCCAGUACUUUUACUUUGAGGAAAUGAGAGUGUUUCAAGCAGGCGUUUGUCGUGAAUACGUUAGCAUGGAAUAAUAACAUAGGACCUUGUUCUGAAGUUGUUGGUUUUCGGAACGAGGUAAUCAAAAUAGGGAUAGUUGGGGGCAUUUGUAUUUAACUGUCAGAGGUGAAAUUCUUGGAUUUUUUAAAGACGAACUACUGCGAAAGCAUCUGCCCAGGAUGUUUUUAUUAAUCAAGAACGAAAGUUAGGGGAUCGAAGACGAUCAGAUACCGUCCUAGUCUUAACCAUAAACUAUGCCGACUAGAGAUUGGGGCCGUCAGAUAUUUGACGCCUUCAGCAACUUGAGAGAAAUCAAAGUCUUUGGGUUCCGGGGGGAGUAUGGUCGCAAGGCAGAAACUUAAAGGAAUGGACGGAAGGGCACCACCAGGAGUGGAG